RNAcentral lists this ribosomal RNA (872 nucleotides) under Pseudomonas sp. Its description in RNAcentral is "bacterial SSU rRNA". It matches the Rfam family "Bacterial small subunit ribosomal RNA", at positions 9 to 873 of the family's 1533-position model. Lineage: Bacteria; Pseudomonadati; Pseudomonadota; Gammaproteobacteria; Pseudomonadales; Pseudomonadaceae. The record is from RNAcentral.
UAGAGUUUGAUCAUGGCUCAGAUUGAACGCUGGCGGCAGGCCUAACACAUGCAAGUCGAGCGGAUGAGAGGAGCUUGCUCCUCGAUUCAGCGGCGGACGGGUGAGUAAUGCCUAGGAAUCUGCCUAGUAGUGGGGGACAACGUUUCGAAAGGAACGCUAAUACCGCAUACGUCCUACGGGAGAAAGUGGGGGAUCUUCGGACCUCACGCUAUUAGAUGAGCCUAGGUCGGAUUAGCUAGUUGGUAGGGUAAAGGCCUACCAAGGCGACGAUCCGUAACUGGUCUGAGAGGAUGAUCAGUCACACUGGAACUGAGACACGGUCCAGACUCCUACGGGAGGCAGCAGUGGGGAAUAUUGGACAAUGGGCGAAAGCCUGAUCCAGCCAUGCCGCGUGUGUGAAGAAGGCCCUCGGGUCGUAAAGCACUUUAAGUUGGGAGGAAGGGCUUACAGCGAAUACCUGUGAGUUUUGACGUUACCGACAGAAUAAGCACCGGCUAACUUCGUGCCAGCAGCCGCGGUAAUACGAAGGGUGCAAGCGUUAAUCGGAAUUACUGGGCGUAAAGCGCGCGUAGGUGGCUUGAUAAGUUGGAUGUGAAAUCCCCGGGCUCAACCUGGGAACUGCAUCCAAAACUGUCUGGCUAGAGUGCGGUAGAGGGUAGUGGAAUUUCCAGUGUAGCGGUGAAAUGCGUAGAUAUUGGAAGGAACACCAGUGGCGAAGGCGACUACCUGGACUGACACUGACACUGAGGUGCGAAAGCGUGGGGAGCAAACAGGAUUAGAUACCCUGGUAGUCCACGCCGUAAACGAUGUCAACUAGCCGUUGGGAUCCUUGAGAUCUUAGUGGCGCAGCUAACGCAUUAAGUUGACCGCCU